This 497-nucleotide ribosomal RNA is filed under the name uncultured bacterium. Its description in RNAcentral is "partial 16S ribosomal RNA". It matches the Rfam family "Bacterial small subunit ribosomal RNA", at positions 28 to 507 of the family's 1533-position model. The record is from RNAcentral.
GAUGAACGCUGGCGGCGUGCCUAAUACAUGCAAGUCGAGCGAACAGACGAGGAGCUUGCUCCUCUGACGUUAGCGGCGGACGGGUGAGUAACACGUGGAUAACCUACCUAUAAGACUGGGAUAACCUCGGGAAACCGGAGCGAAUACCGGAUAAUAUAUUGAACCGCAUGGUUCAAUAGUGAAAGACGGCUUUGCUGUCACUUAUAGAUGGAUCCGCGCCGCAUUAGCUAGUUGGUAAGGUAACGGCUUACCAAGGCGACGAUGCGUAGCCGACCUGAGAGGGUGAUCGGCCACACUGGGACUGAGACACGGUCCAGACUCCUACGGGAGGCAGCAGUAGGGAAUCUUCCGCCAUGGGCGAAAGCCUGACGGAGCAACGCCGCGUGAGUGAUGAAGGUCUUCGGAUCGUAAAACUCUGUUAUUAGGGAAGAACAAAUGUGUAAGUAACUAUGCACGUCUUGACGGUACCUAAUCAGAAAGCCACGGCUAACUACGUG